CCUACGGGGGGCUGCAGUGAGGAAUAUUGGUCAAUGGACGCAAGUCUGAACCAGCCAUGCCGCGUGCAGGAAGACGGCUCUAUGAGUUGUAAACUGCUUUUGUACGAGGGUAAACGCAGAUACGCGUCUCUGUCUGAAAGUAUCGUACGAAUAAGGAUCGGCUAACUCCGUGCCAGCCGCCGCGGUAAUACGGAGGAUUCAAGCGUUAUCCGGAUUUAUUGGGUUUAAAGGGUUCGGAGGCGGUCGGAUAAGUUAGAGGUGAAAUCCCGAGGCUCAACUUCGGAAGUGCCUCUGAUACUGGUCGGCUAGAGAGUAGUUGCGGUAGGCGGAAUGUAUGGUGUAGCGGUGAAAUGCUUAGAGAUCAUACAGAACACCGAUUGCGAAGGCAGCUUACCAGGCUACUUCUGACGUUGAGGCACGAAAGCGUGGGGAGCAAACAGGAUUAGAUACCCCUGUAGUC
RNAcentral lists this ribosomal RNA (460 nucleotides) under uncultured bacterium. RNAcentral's name for it is "partial 16S ribosomal RNA". It matches the Rfam family "Bacterial small subunit ribosomal RNA", at positions 338 to 795 of the family's 1533-position model. The record is from RNAcentral.